Molecule: long non-coding RNA, 122 nt
Organism: Maniola jurtina (meadow brown)
Lineage: Eukaryota; Metazoa; Arthropoda; Insecta; Lepidoptera; Nymphalidae
Exons: 3
Source: RefSeq, a predicted model, not a curated record
AAGUUUGUAUGUAAGUAUACAGUCCAAAUCUGUUAUAACAACAUUGAAGGUACAACGAUAAUUAGGUCGCGACAGCCGCUUGUUGUAAUUACCAGUGGUUUUUACGCUACAAAUAGCCGGGA